GUAUACUGAGGCGGUUGGUUACCGAAACCCUGGGCCGUUCGGAUACCACGAACGCAGGCAAUUCAGCCUUCCAAGCUGAAUACCCGGGUUCGAUUCCCGGUACCCGCUCCA
RNAcentral lists this transfer RNA (111 nucleotides) under Methylobacterium gregans. RNAcentral describes it as "tRNA-Gly". The record is from RNAcentral. Lineage: Bacteria; Pseudomonadati; Pseudomonadota; Alphaproteobacteria; Hyphomicrobiales; Methylobacteriaceae.